Molecule: long non-coding RNA, 524 nt
Filed under: Heterocephalus glaber (naked mole-rat)
Lineage: Eukaryota; Metazoa; Chordata; Mammalia; Rodentia; Bathyergidae
Description: lncRNA (ENSHGLG00100051023.1)
Source: RNAcentral
CGCGGACGGAGGCGGGCGGUCUGCUAGGUGACGUCCUUCGCGUACUCCUUUCCGAAGACGUGGAGAGGCGGUCCUCCUCGCCGGGCUCCCCGGGUCUCUCGGUUCUCCUGGGGAACCCUCGCUCUUGACGCCGAGAGACCUACAGCCAAUUCCAGCGGACGGUGUGAGCGUCCUGCCCGCCAUCGGCCGUCAGAGCCACACGGAACAGGCACCCUGGUGGGACCGGGUCCCGGAGCCCUCCGCGCCGGGCCGAGAACCGACCACCGCGUCUGCGCAGCGGGCUGUGGAGAAGCUGCGGGAGCGGCCGGGGCGGCCUCGGUCCUCAGGGUACGCAGCCCCGCCGGCUCCGCGCCCUCCGAGCGAUCCGCCUCCCGAGCCAUCCCCGGAGCCCGUCCUGUCUCGUUGGAAAUUGAAGCCGUUAGUGUCUUAACUCAAAGUACUGGAGAUUGAACUAAGGACCUUGUGCUUGUGAGGCAGGCUCCUAGGGCAGAGAAGCUCAGCCGGUCCCAGCACCCGGAAGGAAG